UUCAAGUCUUCCCAAUGGAGACCCCAGAUCCCUUGGAAUAUAAGUCAUCCCCACUGUGCUGUUUGAAUGACCCACCCACAGAAUCGCUCUUUCUAGAUUGAUGACAAUAAGUAUUCCAUGCCUUGGAGAAGAAACUGGAAUUUCAAGCUGUACUUUGGAAGACAUCUUCUUCAGCUGGGUCCAAGUUUCAUUCCACUCUGAUCUGCUCCCUCACUCAAAGGGGAGUAGUAAUUCCAUCUUUGUCUAUCAAACUGGCCAAUGAG
Long non-coding RNA from Leopardus geoffroyi (Geoffroy's cat), 263 nucleotides. RefSeq lists it as uncharacterized. NCBI's taxonomy places the organism in Eukaryota, Metazoa, Chordata, Mammalia, Carnivora, Felidae. The record is from RefSeq and is a predicted model, not a curated record. The transcript has 3 exons.